RNAcentral lists this long non-coding RNA (3392 nucleotides) under Homo sapiens (human). Its description in RNAcentral is "HSALNT0315730". The record is from RNAcentral. Lineage: Eukaryota; Metazoa; Chordata; Mammalia; Primates; Hominidae.
AUUUAAAUGUUUUUAGUGACUGUACUUUCUUUUCUCUGAAUUACUUAUUCCUAGCUUUGCUUAUUUUCCUACAAAGGUCUGAGAAUUUUAAACAUUUUAUAGUAGAGUAUUUGUCCUUUUGAGUUUCAACUGUAAAUGUUAUGUAGUUAAGUCAAUAGCUUGCUUCAUCUGUCAUGCUGUCAGUGGCUUUUGUGCUUGGAAAACUCUUCCCAGUCCAGAGGUAAAGGAUCUCACUAGGUGCUGGAAGAUUAAAUGAGAAAACUUAAGUAAAUUACUUAGCAGCUGUACCUGACCUGUGGUAAUGUAAGUCUGUGAUAGAUGGUAGCAUUAUAGUUCAUACUCCAACAAUUUCUGCUUUGAAUAUGAGGAAACUGAGGGAGAUGAAAGGUUACCAUACUGUUAGGCAGGAGCAGUAGGAUCCAAGUCCAUGCUUCCUAAUACCAGAUCUUUCUGCUUUUUCUCAUCACUUUUCCACAUUAAAGAGUAAGGUGUUCAGACUAAUAAUAAUGGUGGGUACCAUGCAGAGGAUAAAAUGUGGCACAAAGACUUAUGGGUCUACUUCUUCCCUGAGAUGGAUGUGAUGUUUUCUCAGAAAAAGAGAAAACACUGGCAAAGCAUACAUACUAUGGGCUAAAUCAUAACCACAAAUAUCCACAAUACAAAUAUCUUCCCAUCAGGACCACUCUCCUUACCAUUACUACUCAAUCUGAAAAUUUAACAAUGAGAACCCAAUUUUCUUUCAGUUGCCCACAUGUGUAAAAUAUAUGUGUGUGUGGUUUCAAGGGCGGUUUGUUCUCUGAGGAAUUAUACCUGCAAGGCAAAUAUGUCUUCCACCAGCCCCCUUAAUCCAGCCAAGCCCAAUACGCUCCAGGGUGAGAAACAGACAAGGGUACAGGAAAAGGAAGAGGCUGACUCAAAACACCACUGUCUGGCUGCACUUAUGACAGGCAGAACCAUGUCCACUCCUAAAACAGCCUUGGGAAAUACCCUCAUAAAACAAAAGUACAACAUCUAAAAUUAGUAUUGCUAGCAAAAACAAAGGGCAACUGAGGAACAGGGCUCAUCACUAUCAGGCAGAAAAGCUAUUCAAGCCCCAGAUGAAAGUAAAAAUGUGAUUAGAAACUCACCGCUAUUCAGCCCCAGGAAGUUUUUGUCCUCAUCUGUUGCUAAAUUCCCUACUGCCACCCGCUGUGCCUGAGCAGAUGAGGCUCACAAUGACUUUCAAUGAUGCCAUGCAAGCCACCAUGAUCUUAGAACAGACCACUGAGCACUUGCAGACUCUGAACACCAAUGCUCAGCCUUUCCUGAUGUGCCCUGUUCUACUGCAAUUCCCCAAUCUGGACAAGAACAAAGAGGGGCAUUCAGUAAUGAAAUAAAGAGCAAAAUGUUCAGCAUGGGUAGGUAUCAUCUAUCUUCAAAUCUAAUAUGUCCCCAGGACCUUUCCACCCUUUUUUUCGGCAUAUGGCAUGGCCCCAUCCCUUACACACCAAGAUCAUUCCUGCAUCCCCUCCCCAGGUUCUGCCUUCCUGCCUCUGGCCCAGCCCACCUUACUAGCAGCAUUGUGGUGUCUCUGAAGCAAGAAGCCUUCAGCAUGCUAAUCUGCACGUAAAUUUACAAGUGGAAGAUUGGGUGUUUUCUGCAUUUUCAAAAUCUAUUUAAUUAACAAACUAUAUUUUUUGUGGGAAAAUCUGGGGGGCCUCUAGGGUUCUCAGGAACACACUUCAGGAAAUAACAUCCUAAACCUGAACCUAAAGCCAUCUGGUGCUUAGGACACAACAAACAGCUGCUUCCUUCUGAGUCCUGCACAGAUGAUGAAACCCACAGAGCCGGAAAGGGCCUGUCAGACCAAGAGGAAGGGGCUGCUCAAACUCCCCUGAGGAUGAAUGGAUUUAAGGAAACCUGGCCUAGGGAAUCAGGGGAUCCAGUAGAUGAGAAAGGCACAGAAGUGGGAAUAAAAGCAGAUGUAAGAUUUGGAGCAGGGACAGUUGUAGGCCUGGACAAGAUUCAGUUGUGGGAAGGAGUGGGAGAAAGAAAAGUGUUUCCCCCAGUUUCCUGUCUUUCUGUUCUUCCCUGGAUUGAGCUUCCCCUCCUCCCAGAUGCAUUUGUUUCUCACUUUUCACUCUUUGCCAUGGGAACUGAAAUAGACUUUUAAAAAUUAUCGGAUGUACUUGUUUUAUAAUGCUCACUGUCUCAGUACUAAUUCACUAAUGACCCCUACAGAUACCACGUCUAGCAUCCUCUUUUUCACACUGCUAAGUUGUUACCUGGUGCAAUGCUUCUCAGGCUUCAGGGUACUUAUGAGUCACCUCAAGAUCUUGCUAAGAUGCAUGUUCUAAAUCAAAGACAGGGCCGGAGACUCUGCAUUUCUAAUAAGCUCCAGGAGUUGCAAAAGGUUAGAGGUUUUGCAGGAGAUCUUCUCUAAGGUUAAGAAGCCUCACAGGACUUGACUGCUCUUUCUCUGUCUUUUACACUGGUGUUACCUAUAGGCCCCAGGAAAUGCUUGUUAAAGCAAUGAAGUAAAUACUUGCCACCAAUGCUAAAAAGGAAAACAAUAUGCCAUUGACAAAAAACUUCCUAAGGAUUAUGGGCUGCAUCAUCCCAGAAGCUAAUGAAUACACUGGUCCCCCGUGGCCCAGAAAGGAACUCAGGAUGCCAGGGGUUGCUGAGACACUGGUUGGCCAAGUGGAGACCAGGGAGGAGCAUGCAUGUGCACACACGCAGACAGACAGACAGACAGACACACACACACACGCACACACACACACACACACCCUGUCACACAUUUCUUUAAGCCAAUAGCACUCAAACUUGAUUGACUGUGCAAGAGGAUUACCUGGAGGGCUUGGAAGUGACAUAAACAGAAGCAGGCAGAUAGAAAUGCCGCUGCGCAGAGUCCACAACACUUGAAUAUUUCGAUUGAGAAGCAGCCCUAACAGACUAAGACGAAUACUAACUGAGGACCCACCAGACUUGGAGAAAUAAACCCCUUUUGACUGAGCCAACUGAGGCUGCUCUUGAAAUCAAAAUCUAUCAUAAAGUAAGAGUGAAGCUGCAGCGUGGGUCUACCUAAAACUCAAUUCAAGGGCCUUGGGAUCGAGGGCAGGAGUGUGCCUGUGACCAGCUGUCAUUAGUUCUAUUGACUACCUGUGGGAAAGCUGGUCAAGUGGCCACUUGCUCACCUCAAGACAAUGAAUGAAGCUUUCCUGGAUGCUAAGUGACUGCCACCUUGUGAGCUAAGCCUGGCAAGACCUUUGGGCUACACUUCCCUCCUCACUGUGAGCUGUGGCUUGGGCAGGCUCAAAGGGGCCCACUCACUCUGCAGAUGUGCCUCAGGGACAUGGAUGACUCUGCCAGCUGCACUUGAGGGCAAAAUAAUCAUUUACAGCUUCCCA